UAAGAACAGGUCGACAUGGUAGAAAACACCUCCGUAAGAACAGGCCGACAUGGUAGAAAACACCCCCGUAAGAACAGGCCGACAUGGUAGAAAACACCCCCGUAAGAACAGGUCGACAUGGUAGAAAACACCCCCGUAAGAACAGGCUGACAUGGUAGAAAACACCCCCGUAAGAACAGGCCGACAUGGUAGAAAACACCCCCGUAAGAACAGGCUGACAUGGUAGAAAACACCCCCGUAAGAACAGGCCGACAUGGUAGAAAACACCCCCAUAAGAACAGGCCGACAUGGUAGAAAAC
Molecule: long non-coding RNA, 299 nt
Organism: Oncorhynchus tshawytscha (Chinook salmon)
Lineage: Eukaryota; Metazoa; Chordata; Actinopteri; Salmoniformes; Salmonidae
Source: Ensembl